This 30-nucleotide non-coding RNA is filed under the name Mus musculus (house mouse). Lineage: Eukaryota; Metazoa; Chordata; Mammalia; Rodentia; Muridae. The record is from RNAcentral.
UGACAGGUUGUUUGCCUGACUCCAAGCUCC